CCUACGGGUGGCUGCAGUCGAGAAUCUUUCACAAUGGGGGCAACCCUGAUGGAGCGACGCCGCGUGGAGGAUAAGGUCUUCGGAUUGUAAACUCCUGUCAUGUGUGAACAAGGUUGCAGGGUUAAUACCUUUGCAAAUUGAUGGUAACACAAGAGGAAGAGACGGCUAACUCUGUGCCAGCAGCCGCGGUAAUACAGAGGUCUCAAGCGUUGUUCGGAAUCGCUGGGCGUAGAGGGUGCGAAGGUGGCGUGAAAGCCCGGGGCUCAACCUCGGAACAGCAUCCGAUACUGCCGUGCUAGAGUACUGAAGAGGUGACUAGAAUUCUCGGUGUAGCAGUGAAAUGCGUAGAUAUCGAGAGGAAUACCAAAGGCGAAGGCAGGUCACUGGGCAGUUACUGACACUGAGGCACGAAGGCCAGGGGAGCAAACGGGAUUAGAUACCCCUGUAGUC
This 450-nucleotide ribosomal RNA is filed under the name uncultured bacterium. RNAcentral's name for it is "partial 16S ribosomal RNA". It matches the Rfam family "Bacterial small subunit ribosomal RNA", at positions 338 to 795 of the family's 1533-position model. The record is from RNAcentral.